RNAcentral lists this ribosomal RNA (402 nucleotides) under uncultured bacterium. Its description in RNAcentral is "bacterial SSU rRNA". It matches the Rfam family "Bacterial small subunit ribosomal RNA", at positions 356 to 773 of the family's 1533-position model. The record is from RNAcentral.
GGGGAAUAUUGCACAAUGGGCGAAAGCCUGAUGCAGCAACGCCGCGUGAGCGAAGAAGGCCUUUGGGUCGUAAAGCUCUGUCCUUGGGGAAGAAACAAAUGACGGUACCCUUGGAGGAAGCCCCGGCUAACUACGUGCCAGCAGCCGCGGUAAUACGUAGGGGGCGAGCGUUAUCCGGAAUUAUUGGGCGUAAAGAGUGCGUAGGUGGUUCUUUAAGCGUGGGGUGAAAGGCAGUGGCUUAACCAUUGUAAGCCCUGCGAACUGGAGAACUUGAGUGCAGGAGAGGAAAGCGGAAUUCCUAGUGUAGCGGUGAAAUGCGUAGAUAUUAGGAGGAACACCAGUGGCGAAGGCGGCUUUCUGGACUGUAACUGACACUGAGGCACGAAAGCGUGGGGAGCAAAC